Molecule: long non-coding RNA, 778 nt
Organism: Drosophila arizonae
Lineage: Eukaryota; Metazoa; Arthropoda; Insecta; Diptera; Drosophilidae
Gene: dco
Source: RefSeq, a predicted model, not a curated record
AAAAAACACAAAAAAAAAAAAAAAAAAAAAAAGAAAAAUUGCCAAAUGGCCAAAAUGGCCCUGGCUUAAGCUGCUAAGAAAUGUAUAAAACGAAUUGUUUUCGAUAUUGCGUAAAUGUGAGUGCAUCUGUGUGUGUGUGCUCUCAAAAACAAAAACAAAGAAAGUUGAAAUGAAUUUGUUGCCUUGUUUCCACUUAUCAUGACGUCGUCGUCGUCGUAGUCGUCGUCUCCAGUGUUGUUGUCGUAGUUGUUGUUCUUGUGAAAUUGAAAUCCAAUUAAACGCAGUGCAUUUUCAGCUGGAAAUUGAAGCAAGCGUCAAGUGCAAGCAGCAGCAGCAGCGGAGCAGCCUGGCCACACUGUGACUCCCGAAUCCGCCAAGAUUAGAAUUUACGCUGAAGUGGUGCCGUAAAAAUCUCGUCGCCGAUAACAACAGCGUUGCUAUCGAUCCGUCUACCGUUUAACUAGUCUAACUACGUAGUGAGCGCAAGCCUUUGAAGAAGUUCGUCCCCUUUUGCCAAAAUAUACCAGUGUGAUAGGAACAAAUUUCUCUUUUCAUCAGUUUUUGAAGAAUUCACAUGUUAAGCAGCCGGAGCGCCCGCGACUGGCACCGAAAGCCAACCAAACGCCUGAGCGUGCGCAUAGAAAACGCAUGAACAAAAUACAACGGAUCAGAUAAAAGAGAUAAGAAGUCGAAGAAGAGGCGCAGCAGAAAAAGCAUCUAAAGCGGAAACAGACAAAAGGACUGCGAAAGGCGACGCCACACAUAUAUAAUAUAUAUA